This is a long non-coding RNA of Alosa alosa (allis shad), 1279 nucleotides long. RefSeq lists it as uncharacterized. NCBI's taxonomy places the organism in Eukaryota, Metazoa, Chordata, Actinopteri, Clupeiformes, Clupeidae. The record is from RefSeq and is a predicted model, not a curated record. The transcript has 4 exons.
AAGAGCUUGAGUUUCUCACUGUGCAGACUGCAUAGCACCUCAGACCCUGCUGAAGCCCUCUGACUUCUCUGCUACUGGACAUUCCCUUGACCCUUUGGUUUCCCAGAACUGCUGCAGACAGACUUUACAGAAGCUGUGACUGCAUGAGAGGACAACAGGGUCCUUGAAGACGUCACAGCACACAGGACAGAGUUCACAGAAAAACGAUGUGCCAGUCGGUCUUCCUCAGUUCCCUACUUCCUUGUUGAACAAGGUUGAGUUGAGCCAGAGGGAGGGACUUUGGCCGAAGAGGAUUCUGAUUGGCCAGUUUUGCUAGAGGGAGUGAAACUCCUGUUCUGAUGAUUGACAGGUAUGAAUAACUUGAUAUUUCAUGUUAUAGUUUACUCAUAGGUGGGAUGAUUUGUAAUGACCCUUAAUUUCUACUUCUAAGUCUGCUCUAUGAAUUAAGGAACACAGCAGUUGGUUAUCUAGAGAAAGUGCAAAGUCAAGCCUACAAAUUCACCCAUAAAAUCAUUGCAAACACACAGUAGCAUUUAACCAAAAAUAUUGUAAUUUUUUUCUUUUUUUCCUUUCACAUGUCAGAAUUAUUUGAAUUGAAUGAUAUUAUACUUGGUUAAUUUGGCUUGCAUUGAAAUAAACCAAUUAGCUGAUCCAUUUUGUCAGCAUAAAUUAUCCUUUCUUUGCACUGAAAUAAAAAGGAAAACCCACAAUUGCCUUGUAGUUCAAAUUGUUCUCUAGAGGGGCGACACAUCAUUGGGAAGGACCACGUGGUACGAGAUGAUGGGGCAGAAGUCCAUCUCUGCAGAGGACUGUAGUGUGUAGCACUCUGCUGCCCCCUUGUGGCGAUCUGCAGGUUGGACACAGUGACUGUCGGCCCAUUUCCUCCUGCUCAUGGACGCUGGAGCUGCUGUGGUGUGCCAGAGCACCAGGGCUGAGGAGUUAGAGCGCUGCUCUACAGGUCUAAUCAGCACCAGGAGUGGAGCGCUGCUCUACAGGUAGUUUAAUCAGCACCAGGAGAGGAGCGCUGCUUUACAGGUAGUUUAAUCAGCACCAGGAGUGGAGUGCUGCUCUACAGGUAGUUUAAUCAGCACCAGGAGAGGAGCGCUGCUUUACAGGUAGUUUAAUCAGCACCAGGAGUGGAGUGCUGCUCUACAGGUCUAUUCAGCACCAGGGCUGAGGAGUGGAGCGCUGCUCUACAGGCUACAUUUUUAAACGACCAAAACAAAUAAUGCAACACGAAAAUGACAUUGCUGUAAAAUGAUCAAGCAAUUGGCACAGA